GAUGAACGCUGGCGGCGUGCCUAAUACAUGCGAGUCGAGCGAACGGACGAGAAGCUUGCUUCUCUGAUGUUAGCGGCGGACGGGUGAGUAACACGUGGAUAUCCUACCUAUAAGACUGGGAUAACUUCGGGAAACCGUAGCUAAUACCGGAUAAUAUUUUGAACCGCAUGGUUCAAAAGUGAAAGACGGUCUUGCUGUCACUUAUAGAUGGAUCCGCGCUGCAUUAGCUAGUUGGUAAGGUAACGGCUUACCAAGGCAACGAUGCAUAGCCGACCUGAGAGGGUGAUCGGCCACACUGGAACUGAGACACGGUCCAGACUCCUACGGGAGGCAGCAGUAGGGAAUCUUCCGCAAUGGGCGAAAGCCUGACGGAGCAACGCCGCGUGAGUGAUGAAGGUCUUCGGAUCGUAAAACUCUGUUAUUAGGGAAGAACAUAUGUGUAAGUAACUGUGCACAUCUUGACGGUACCUAAUCAGAAAGCCACGGCUAACUACGUG
RNAcentral lists this ribosomal RNA (497 nucleotides) under uncultured bacterium. RNAcentral's name for it is "partial 16S ribosomal RNA". It matches the Rfam family "Bacterial small subunit ribosomal RNA", at positions 28 to 507 of the family's 1533-position model. The record is from RNAcentral.